CAGAGAGAGGGGAGCUGGAACAUGUUAGGGCCCCCGAAAGCCAAGAUACCCCAGAGCCCAGGAAUCUGAGAAGAGUCCACGUUGAGGGCAGCGUUCGCCUGCGUUCUCUGCCAAGGGGCUGUGGAUUUCGGGACUGAGCACCGUGUCCCGGGACCUCAUCCCCAGGAGGCAGGGCCAUGGGACAGCCCCCAGCGCCAGCCGUGUGGAAUGUGCCACUCUUGGAACUGAGGCUCUCGGUUUUUAAAAUUGGCUUGUAAAUCUCCGUGUAGUUUUCAGGCUUUAGGAAUUUUAUUUUAUCUGGAUUAAAGUCAUGUUCUGCUUUGGCAUAGGAAGGCGUUUAUGACUGUUAAAACAAGAAAUGAAAAAUAUAGGCCUGCAAUCAGCCGGGCUGCCUCCUGCCAGAGUCUAGGGAUUUGUCUUGGGGGCCAGGCUGAAGGUUUGCUGCCCUUCUCCCCGCACUGCUCUGUGUUUCUCCAGAAAGCUGGAGCUGGCUGCCUGGGAGCGGCUGUCGCGAUGGCUGGGAGGGCCUCAGGAACGAAGCCUUUGUCUUUGCUCAGGUGUGUUCUCACAAUGGGGAGCCACGGCCCUCCCCAAGGACCAGCGAGCAAUGGGCGCAUCUCAUUCGCUGCCUGCAUUUGCCCCCGCCCAUCCAAGAGAGCAGAAUCAGAGAGGGUAGCAGCUUGUGUUUGGUUCUCGACCAUCACCUCUCUGAGGACGUGCAAACACCUGGAAAACAAAUGUGAAAACUUCACCGACUCAUCGGAAGGCUCUGUCAAUGUCGCAUGAAGCCAGAUGUCCAAGAACCAAGAGCCAGCUCUAGGCAGACAAAAGAGUAGUAAUAAUAAUAAGGAUAAUGAUGAUAAUAAUGAAAAACAGUUACCACUUAUUAAGACACUUGCUUUCUGCCAGACCCAAUGUUAAGUGCUUUUGUGUAUUGAUCGUCUCACACAAUCCUACAAUCCAUUCUCUCCAUGGCAGCAAAGUGGCCUUUUUAAGACAGAAACUCUAAAUCAGAUCAGGCUAGUCUGUGGCUAAAAACCCUUAAGUGGCUUCCCAUUAUACUUAGAAUGACAUCAAAGUUUCUUGCCGCCGGCCUGCAAGGCUAGGUCCCUGCCUACCUAUCCCUAUCUGCUCCCACUCUCCACCUACUCACUAAACUCCAAACACAUAAGCCCCUCUCUGGUGCCAAGUGCCAAGCUUUUGCCUGCCCCGGGACCUUUGCACUUGCUGUUCCCCCAAUAAGCAACUCAACUCCCCACCCUAAUCCUCCAUUGGAAUGAAUGUGCUAGAGAGAAAUGACCUCGUCUCUUUGAUCACUGUUGUAUCUCCAGCCCCUAGGACAGUUGGCACUCAACAAAAAUUUGUCAUACGAUUGAAAGAAUUUCAACCCUAUGUACUAGGCAUUAUUAUCUUCAUGUAACAGAUGAAGAAACUGAAAGUCAGCCUAGUUCAUUUGCUCAAAGCCAUACGACUUGUGAGUUUCGACUACACGGCUGGAGGACUCUGUCUGUUUUCUCCUUGUCAGCUAGCUGUGCUGAGGCUGCACAGCCACCUUGGGGGGAGGAGCAGCCUUCGAGAUGCAGUUUUCAUCUCUUCACUCUGCAAACAGCCCUGCUUUGCCUCACUUAGUCCUUUAUGGCCAGGAUCUGUCUACACAAUAAGAAACCCUAGCCUGCAAAACGACCCCGUCUUCCUCUGGCUUUUACUUUAUGUUUUUCUUUGAUCAUAAAAAUGAGUAUUUAGAAAGACUGGAAAGUAUAGGAAAAGAUAUAUAUAUAUAAAGAAGCUGGGGAAAAACCACUCACGACCUCACUACCCAGAGGCAACUUGGUUAACGCUUUGGUUUCUUUACUGCCGCUCUUUUCUAUCGUCUUUAAUACAGAGUUGAUAUCGUCUCUGUAUGUAAUUUUGUGUCCUGCUUUUAUCCCUUAAUGCUAUAUCUUAAGAGUGUUCUCUGAAAAGUUUUUCAUAAGCGUUAAAGCUAAUGCUAGCAUAAUAUUGCUUCGCUUGGGUUCAUCCAGUUUGCUCAACCAAAUUUCUUUUGUUUGAAGGAAUUCCCUUUUCUCACUUGCAGUCAGCAAGCCAAAAAUAGGACUUAAAUGUAAGGAGACACACGUGCAAUUAUGACUCAAAUAUACAGAGAUGCACGGACAAUUAUGUUUCCCUAUUGAGAUCAGAAAAAGGCAUGGCUGUAUUCCAUCAGAAUAAUUAUUGCUAUUAUUCGAUCAUUUCCUGGGAUCUCAUAGUAUAUGAAAGUUGUGGGUAUUCCAAAGAAACUCUCAAAUAAUACCUAAAUGUCCUUACUGGAAGCACAGGUUUUAGGUCUCUGCUGAUUCUCAGCAAAAUCCCCUUGGUUGACAUGUCACCUACACCUUUUUGGCCACCACCCCUUCCCAGGACGCAGCUGCUGCCACCGCAACCAGGGGACAGGAUAGAAAAGGGCCGGCAAUCUGGAGGCCAGAAACAAAGGUUCAAGGUCCAGCUUCUAGGCUUAACUACAUGCCCUUGGACGUGUCACGUCUCCUCUUUCCCAUAAAAUGAGGAUGAUAGUCCUCGCCUCAGAGAACUGUGAAGGCCAAAGGAGGGCUCGCACAGGGAGGGUGUGUCGUAAACUGAAAAGUGCUAUAAAGUUGUUUGGAAUUCUUACGAUCCGAAGAGUUAUGACCCCAGUGGCUAUUUAAAAAGACUUAAAGGUCAGCAGAGCCAAUGUUUUCCAGCCCAAAUCUUCAAAAGGCUGGCUCUUGUUAGAAGACGAUGUGUAUAAACUGGAUUAGUGGGUCCUCUGCUUGUGAUAAAUUCACAGGGAUGUGAAAGAGCGUGGGUAGCAGGCUCUGCUGUUACCUACCAGCGUCCAUGCCCUACCCUCCUGGUCCUAGGAGGGGACCUGUUUGGGGUCAGGCAUUCAGCCAGUCCAGGUUUAGCAUGUGACUCAGCUCAAACUGACUCCACCCCCAGCUCCAGGGAUGGGCCUGAUUGGUCAAAAGAUAAUCCCUCCCCUUGCCAGUGAUUGGUUCAUUCAGCCACAGGGCACGUGAUCCCACUCCCACCGUGAGACACGUGGGGACGGGGAGACACGUGGGGACGUGGGAGACAGGUGGGGCAAGGUCUCCUUGCUCGUGGUGAAGUAUCACCGGGAAAGAGAGCCUUUCUUCUUCCCACCUUGAACUGUGCAGCCAUCUUCCUACCAGACCAGAGGGUGAAGGCAACACGGAGAGAGGAAGAGCCGAGAGAGCGUGAUGGUGGAUGAUGAUAACCAUAACAGCAGCAAACAUUUAUUGAGCAUUUAGAGCUUACCAAGUGCUGUUCUAAACGUAUUAUCUGUUCUGGGGGUGGGGAGGUGGCCCCAUCGAUGUUGGUGGCCCGUGGACUAAGAAUGGUUUUUACAUUUUUUAAUGGUUGUAUAAAAAUCAAAAGAACGGUAUUUCAUGACAUACGGAAAUUAUAUGGAAUUCCACGUUCGGUGUCCAUAAAUAAAAUUUUAUUGGAAC
RNAcentral lists this long non-coding RNA (3488 nucleotides) under Equus caballus (horse). Its description in RNAcentral is "lncRNA (ENSECAG00000036023.3)". The record is from RNAcentral. Lineage: Eukaryota; Metazoa; Chordata; Mammalia; Perissodactyla; Equidae.